RNAcentral lists this ribosomal RNA (490 nucleotides) under uncultured bacterium. RNAcentral describes it as "partial 16S ribosomal RNA". It matches the Rfam family "Bacterial small subunit ribosomal RNA", at positions 30 to 507 of the family's 1533-position model. The record is from RNAcentral.
AUUGAACGCUGGCGGCAGGCCUAACACAUGCAAGUCGAACGGUAACAGGAAACAGCUUGCUGUUUCGCUGACGAGUGGCGGACGGGUGAGUAAUGUCUGGGAAACUGCCUGAUGGAGGGGGAUAACUACUGGAAACGGUAGCUAAUACCGCAUAACGUCGCAAGACCAAAGAGGGGGACCUUCGGGCCUCUUGCCAUCGGAUGUGCCCAGAUGGGAUUAGCUAGUAGGUGGGGUAACGGCUCACCUAGGCGACGAUCCCUAGCUGGUCUGAGAGGAUGACCAGCCACACUGGAACUGAGACACGGUCCAGACUCCUACGGGAGGCAGCAGUGGGGAAUAUUGCACAAUGGGCGCAAGCCUGAUGCGGCCAUGCCGCGUGUAUGAAGAAGGCCUUCGGGUUGUAAAGUACUUUCAGCGGGGAUGAAGGGAGUAAAGUUAAUACCUUUGCUCAUUGACGUUACCCGCAGAAGAAGCACCGGCUAACUCCGUG